ACCUGCCCACUGAAAUUUUUGAAUGGCCGCAGUAAUUUGACUGUGCAAAGGUAGCAUAAUCAUUAGUUUUUUAAUUAAAAGCUUGUAUGAAUGGUUGGACGAGGUAAAUUCUGUCUUUAUUUAAAUAAUAUUAGAAUUUAAUUUUUAAGUUAAAAAGCUUAAAUAAAUAUAAAAGACGAGAAGACCCUAUAGAUCUUUAUAUUAUUAUUUUAUAAUUUUAAUAAAGAAUUUUUAAUUUUUUAUAUUUUAUAAUAUUUUAUUGGGGUAAUAAAAAGAUUUAAUAAAUUCUUUUUUAUAUUUUACAUUAAUUUAUGAAUGUAUGAUCCAAAAUUUUUGAUUAUAAGAUUAAGUUACCUUAGGGAUAACAGCGUAAUUUUUUUAGAGAGUUCAUAUCGAUAAAAAAGUUUGCGACCUCGAUGUUGGAUUAAAAAUUGUUUUAGGCGUAGAAGUUUAAAAAUUUGGUCUGUUCGACCAUUAAAUUUUU
Molecule: ribosomal RNA, 484 nt
Filed under: Papuadytes sp. MB001
Lineage: Eukaryota; Metazoa; Arthropoda; Insecta; Coleoptera; Dytiscidae
Description: partial 16S ribosomal RNA
Rfam family: Bacterial large subunit ribosomal RNA (bases 361-484)
Source: RNAcentral